CCGGAGGAAUCCGAAAAGCCGAUAAAUGAGUAGGAA
Bacteroidales bacterium 43_8 is the source of this 36-nucleotide non-coding RNA. The record is from Rfam. Lineage: Bacteria; Pseudomonadati; Bacteroidota; Bacteroidia; Bacteroidales.